AGGGCACCAUGCUUGGUGCUCUGGGCAGCUGUCCGAGUGGCUCUGGUUUAUAGUCGUGCAGUGAUUUGCAGCUUCUGAUGAAAAGGACUAUUUAUGGCAGGCUGGAGCUUAUGAGGCUGAUGGCUGCUAAGUCUGCUUAAGCCUUCAACUGAGAUUGCUGCUUUUUCUUGAGGGAAGAGAAAAACAAAACCAAGCAGCCAUUCCUCUGUUUGGGAAGCGUGUAAGUUGAGCUCCCAUGUUAUAAAACACUGGGAACGGAACCGAAGUUGACUUCCCUGGGAAAAAUGAGAAGCCAGAGGCCCCAUGAGCUCAGUAUUUCUGGGGGGAGGGAAAGGAUGGCAUUACAGAAGAAAGAAGAGAGGGGCAACAUUUCCAUGGUAUGUUUCAAGUAUGCGUAUUUUUUUUCUUUUAAAUGACACUGAACUUACCUUGCCAUUUGGAAAUGUUAACUUUGGAAAGGGCAAUUAGCAUAGGGACAUGUGGAAUGGUUGGGAGUGUGAGGAUUGUGGGGUGGGGAGAAGAGAGAUAAUGGACCAUCAAAACACUUGUGGCUGCCUGGUGUCAACUAUGCCAACCCAGUUUUAAAGAGCAAUAGGGAGGAGGGAGGCUGUCAGGGUCACUGCACAUGUGGGGACACCUUGGGGAGCCCAGGGAGACAUUUUUCAUUUGAUAACCUUCUGAGCAUGUGCAGAGGGAAUGGCAUGGCAGCAGCAGUGUGCCACCAUGAAGGAGAAGCCAGUGUCACCCCUAACACUAUAUCCAGAGACUCCAUGUUGUAGAUUGGGUGUUGGUGACCUCCCAAAAUUCUUAUGUUGCAUCCUCAUGCCUUGAUGGAAGUGGAGCCUUUGGGAGGCAAUUAAGACACAAAAUCCUCAUGAGUCAAAUGCACGCCCUUAUCAAAGAAGUCCAAGAGAGCCUUUUCACCCCUUCUGCUGUGAGAAAUGCAAUAGGAAGGUGCCAUCUAUCAACUUGAUCUUGGGCUUCCCGGCCUCCAGAGAGUUAACACAUUUCUGUGGUUGGUUAGCUACCAGUUCCUGCUUAUUAUAACAAUCAGAGUAGACUAUGUGCUCUAAACCCUACGGAGUUAUCAGGAGAUAGACUUUGAAGAGCUGUAUGUGAUUCCACAUGCAUCUUAGCUGAGCUAGGUGUGGCUUGUUAAAGCUUAUAGGAUUGUAGCAACCAUUUGCUCUGGGGCUAGACUGCAUAAAGUCUAAGUUCUUGCAGUAUGACCUGGGGUAAGUGAUUACUUCCCACGGCUUUAGUAUGAAGCAGGGAUACGAAUGGUACCUAUACUUCAGAGGGGUUUCAGGAAGAUUAAAUAAAAUAAUAUAUGGAAGCUGCUUAGAAUCGGGUAUCCUAUGCUCAAAGGAGCUAGCUGCUAUUGCUAUUAUGACUAUUUGUCAUAACAGUAUGACCGUACUAAUAUGACUAAGGGUCAAGCUGAAUCCAGGGCAUUUGGGUGUCCGAUACGGGUAAAGUGACACUGAGUUGGAUCAGUCUGAAGGGAGCGAGGCCUAACUGCUGUCAUUGUCCUCACUGAUGUCAUUGUCCUCAAUGUUCUCUCUUGUUCUUCAGGGAAGUAUCACCAUUAUCUCUAAUCAGGAAAGGCAACUAUAUAUAACACAAUUUAUACAUAGAGAAAUCAAGAAGGAAAACAAAGAGAUUUUAGCUUCCAACAGAGAAGUCUAAAUGGAUAUUUAGGUAAUUUUGACUGCUUAUUUCAAACUGCUUUUCGAAGAAGAAGAAGAAGAAGAAGAAGAAGAAGAAGAAGAAGAAGAAGAAGAAGAAGAAGAAGAAGAAGAAGAAGAAGAAGAAGAAGGGGGUAAGAACCCUUCAUCCCAUAGGUGGCAUUUACUGUUGAGGAGAAGAGUGGCUGGGUUUGAAAAAGGAUCUUUGGCAUGUGACAAAGCAUGGGUGGGGUGUGCUGUAGGUGCUGUUUAUUUUUCUGAUCACAUCUCUUGGUACUCCACAGAGAGGACUGGGGAGCCCCAUGGUGGUAUGCUAUCAGGUGCAGAAGGAGUGUGCUCUGGUGAAAAUGGAUUCCCUUCAGCUUUGCUGACAAGGUUUGGUCAAAUGCUACCUGCAGAAAUGUAGUCUGUGUGCCCCAGGAUGGAGCCAGGAAUGGUGUCCGUCCUCACAAUGGAGAAUAGGGAAGAAUUCCGAGAUCCCAGGUUCUUCUCGGGUCUUCAGAGAUAGGUGUGGCCUUCUGGAUUCUUAUUGAAGUUGUAUUACAGAAUCAGCCAGGUGGGAGAAGCCAGUGUGGCCUUGUGCUUGUGGGAGAAAGCCACUCCUUCCAUGAGACAGCAAGUUGACAAGAACCUGCAGCAUCCGCAGUACCUGCCUCCUGCUUCUGACAAUGGAAUGAUGGUUAUUCAGAGGCCUGGAGGGCGCAGGAGUUAGCCACAUCAACUGGGGUAGCCUGUUUGUUGGUUGUAGAUAUUUUAAAGAGUGCUUUGGAAAUAGGCAAAACUGGGCAGGGAUUCCUUUUUUCUGCAUUCUACACUGUGAAGGUAUCUUAGAGUUUUUCAUUGCUCAACCCACAUAUCCUUACAUGGCAUCCCUGGUCUUGGGAAAGAAUCUGUUUUGGCUAGAAAUUUAAUAAAGUAAACCUAAAUAUAGAAAGGAGAAACAUGAUAGAAAGGAGAAACAUCAUUUCUUUUACUACAUCGUGAUCCACACUACCAAGCAUCAGCAGCUACUUGUAGAGCUUGUAUUUGGAGUGAGUUUCUUGGGUAGGAGAAAGCUCAGUCAUUUAGCCUAAGAUUGGUGUUGCAGACAAGAGGCUUUACUCCUGUAGGAGAUUUUUAACCGUGUCUGCUGUCCUGUCCACAGUUCUCACUGACCUCCAGUGUGUUGGCAGAAUUGUGAAUUUUCUCCACUUGCAUCUCUCUGUUGGAGGGUCAGGCAGUCUUAAAAGGGUCCCGAGGCAGCUGAGCUGUGUGUGAGGCUUCUCCUGCAGGAGAUGUGAACUGAUUGGUUGGAACCCCUACUCACCCCACAGAAACUGGGACCUCCCAACCCCUACUGUGUUCUCCUUCCCUCACCCCCUGCCUCCAUGUUAAAAAACAAAACAAAACAAAACAAAACAAAACUCCAGGAUAAUUGCGAUCACCCCUUUCUUCAGCAUUUCCAGCAACCCACCUAAGCGCGCCCAUCAGGGGAUCAGCUUUUAGGCACAAUCCCAGCUCCUAUCUGAUAUGUCAUCACUCCUCACCUAAGACCUAUAAAGCCCCCUUCCCUUAGCCUGGGUCCACAGUUUCUCUGGGCCUGUUCCUUGGGACUGGUGAAAAGGUCUAAUAAACCUGCCUUUAUCUGCUUCUAAUCUGGUCUAGUUUGGUUUAUAUUGCAUCCGCAGAAAACCUAUUGUGAACAAAUGAUUAUUCAUUCCAGAUAAGAUGAAUAAAGACUAAAGAAGUGAUUCUACUCACAUCUAGUUUGGUAAGCUAAUGAGUUUACUGGGUUACUUACAAGACCACAGUGACUCAAAAGACAGCUGUAUGACCCCGAAUCCACUGCAGCAUGGGUAAAAACUGCUUCCCUAGAGUUCCCAGCACCACCUGCACGAAGCUGCACUGCAGAGUCUCUUCCCCAGGAACUGUUUGCUGGUUGUAUGUCCUUGGGGAGGGGGCCUAUGCUUUCUGAGUUUCUUCCAACUACUGAGUUCCUCGGUUCCCUGAGUGGAGUAAACCUCCUCCCUCUGGGCAGGAAGAAAUGUUUCAUUUCAGAAGAGAUGAAUAGGUACAUCACAAACAACUGAGUUCCCCAAGGUGGUAUGGCCAGUUGAGCUGGUUUUGCUCUGUCUGUGUAAAAGCAGGCCUGCCUGAGGCUCAGGUUAGAGUUAGUAGCCUUGCACCUUGUCAUCAGGACAUUUUCUUUCUCAGUUUUGGAUGCUAGACCAUUACGAUAUUUGCAAAAGAGCCCUUCAACCAAAUACAGUAUUAUUUAUAAAAAUUCCUCCCCUCCAAGAAUGUGAUCGUUACAACUAUAGAACCUAUUAUACAAAACCUAUAAGCCAGUGUCAUGAUGCAGGCUUGUCACCCCAGUUAUUCCAAAGGCUGAUACCAGAGAACCUCACAUUUGAAGGCUGUGUGGCCUAGUGAGUAUAAUCAGGGCAGAUUGGGAGCUUAGCAAGUCCCUGUCUAAAAAUAAAGGAAAAGUAAAAAUGAGGCCAGGGCUAGAUAGCUCAGAAGCAGAGUGUCUGGGUAGCACAUAUAGGGCUAGGUAAAAUCCUGGACCAGAAAACGUUUGCUUAUAAUAGGCACAGUGUCUGGGCCCAGUGUCCUGUCUCAUUUCUCUCUGCUUGGUCCAUCUCUCAUUUCUUAAACUCAGCAUCAGGAGGAUACUGAGCAGGGCUGCAGGAGUAGAUUUGGGAACCAGCAACUGGAAGCUGCUUAACAACCCAUCAACGAGAGCUGUCCAUCACGGGGCUUUGGAAGAAAUCUUCCAUCUCUCUAGCUGCAGCCUUUGAAAUAUAUCCAACUGUGUCCAUCUACAGAGCCCCAUCUUCAUGUUUUUAAGUAUGAGCUAGGCUGCCACGGGCCUGUGGCUCAGGGCAAGAGUGCCUUGUCUUAUGCCUUUGCUUUCUUUGUGGAAAAACACUAAAGAGGUGUCAUCCCUUGGAAGAAAAGUGCUGUGGAAACACAUUUUCUUUCUCACUUUCAGGAAACCUAUACAUUUACCCAGGUCUCUCUCACUUUUUUCCAGCUUUUUGCAUUAUUUUUUAGCAAGGGAAGCCGGCAGGUUUCUCAUCUGUCCCUCUCAACCUAAUUUGAUCUCUUCAUCAAAACCUGUGCUGUCUGUUGGCUUUUCCAUGGCGCUGCAGAGAUGAUGAUGAAAUCCAGCACACUUAGGAGCCUCCUUGUGCAGACUCUGGAGUAGCCACUCAGAUGUGCCAGUGGUCCGUUGUCAUCCAAUAACCACUACAAAGCCAAUGUAUGGAAAGAAGGAAGCAAGACUUUGUGUCAUGGUGAAGUGUAGAUUGGUGGCUUCUGGAGCAGUCAGAAGAUUAUGAAGAACUGGUGGGGCGAAGUGAGAAGUGGAAAAGGUGUCCAUAAAAGCAACAAAACAGGAACAGCAUCACUCAGAUGCUCAGAACCAAAAGAUGUAAGAUUGCAAUCAGAUUGGAAAUGGUUAUAGAAAUGUUUAACAGCCCCUCAACUCUAUGCUAUAAUCAGGUCCUCGGUGAUAGGACAAGAGUCAUCUUUGCAACUCUGCCAGUAGUGGAGACCACUUGGGGAACGUGUGCACGUGGGCUUUCUCUUCUGUUUGCAGCAGUGAGGAUGCCCUUCCCUUUUUGCUGGGCUGGUGCUGGAGAGGUUGCAGAAAGGAAGGACUCCCCAGCGGCAUACCCAUUGGCAAGGGCUUCACAUGCGUGAGUCACGUCACCCUACUUACUGUGUGCUCGGGAUAUAGUUGCCAUUUGUCACAAUUCUAUUUAGCAGGAGAGCCAGCUCAUCCUCAGCAUCUCCUCACGUAAAUGAAAACUCGGUGCUCUUUUGUGAUGCCGGAAUGCACAGAGAUGCACAGAGAUGGCUCUUCACCAGCAAGCAGGCAGGCAGGUCUGCUGAGGAGACCAGUUGGCUGGCCUCCCACUCAUCCUCCCACCUGCUGCUCUGCACCUGGAGAUGGUGUCAGCUCACAGGUUAAGUACUCAGUCCCUCAGACCCAUCCCAUGUCGGACAUCAGCCCCAAGUCCAGGCUUUCUUAACCUCUGACCCAUGUCUACACAAUGGGGCUUUUACUGAUGGGUUUAUCCUAAAGGAUGCGUCAAAAAUGCUAACGAGCAUCGGGUGAAAGUGAAGUCUGGGAGAUUCCUGGGUCAGGAGCCUCUGCUCUUUGCAGUCGGAGCACAACACCCUCCCAGCAUUGAGACUUCCGAGGAUCCCACGAAGCCUGGCUUGACAGUGCUUUCUGUGACAGCGAUUUUACAUCGAUCAAUCUGGGGACCCAGUGGGAAUCAGUGGCAGAAUUACCAGCGCAAGGCAAUUCCCAAUCUCCUUGGCCUGAAGCUGUUGCUCCGUAGAGGAACCAUCGCCCGACAUCCGAGAGACCAUGGACUCCACUCUCAGUACCGAGGAAACAAACAACCCGAGCAGGCCAGCAAGCCAAUAACUAAAAGCAUGGCUUCCUUUCUUUCCCAAGGAAGGCUGUAGAGACCAGCAGUCCUAGUCCCCAAGGAUCUAGAACCACACUGAAGAUAAGCUCUGGGGCAUGUCUGUGAGGAGGCCUCUAGAGUGGUUAACAAAAAUUGGAAGCCUCACCCUGACCGUGGGUGGCACCGUUCCAUUGGGAUGAAAUUCAGAACUAAACAGAACGUGAGGUGAGUACCAGCAGUCAUCUUUCUUUGCUUCUUCUAAAACUAUUCAUUUAUUUUAUUUAUAGGUGUAUGUCUGCAGAUCAAAGUGCAUACCUGGUACCUGAUAAGGCCAGAAGAAGGUGGCAGAGUCCCUGGGACUGGACUAUUGUGAGCCACCACAUGGGUGGUGAGAGUUGAAUUUAGAUCCUCUUGGGAGAUCAUCCAGUGCUCUUAACUUCUGAGCUUACUAUCUAGACACUCUCUCUGUCUUUUGGUUGGGGACUCAGUGUGACCAACCAGCUAACAUUCCUGCCUUGAUGCCAACCCCAUCAUUAUGAUGGGAGACUGCAUCAUCCCAAACUCUGAGUCAGUGUAAACUCUCUCAUCCUUAUAUUGCCUUUGUAAUUUUAUUUGUUGGUUUUUGUUUUCCAGCAACAAGAAAAGAAACUAAUACAUAUUUUGCUAAGUUGCCCAGGUUGGCCCUUCCUUAACUUGUAAUUUGGCAAAGAUUGCACAAAGAAAUGGGAUUUGUAGAAGACUUGAAUAAUGGGGAGAGUGCAUAGGAAGAAGGAGAUCAUUCUAGAAUACUCACACACAUCUAACAGUUCAAAAUAAGCAUGAUAUGAACUAUUAAUGCAGCAUUUAAAGGUGACUAUUUAUUAGGAAAACAACAGGCUUUUGUCUCCUGAGUGCUGGGAUCACAAACACCAUGCUCUGCUUGUCUGGCAGUGGAUUGUAAACUGGGCUGACAUUGGUGAGAAGGGGAACACGAGGCUAUUGUCAUCCAUAGAGGUAGCAUUAAGACCUGACUGACAAAAGCCUGGAUGCACAUCAAGCUCUCGACAUCACACAGAGCCCGUUUGACAGAAGUCAGCUUAACUGAGUAAGAUAUGUUGAGCCACUGACGUCCGAUGACCAUGCAUCACCUCAGUCAGAAAUGAAAAGGAGGCGCUCAGUCCCAGAACCACCCAGCCACAGAGCAGCAAGGACUUUGGAGUCUAAAAACUGAAGAACACACUAGUAAGCCAGGAGAUGCCUGACAAGAGCUUAUGAUAUGGCAAGACAAUUGCUUACCUGCCUGGCAUUCAAGGAUGCUCUCUGCAUAUGACAUUCCUGCAUCAAUGCUGCCUAUCACUCUGGGUCCCCAUCUAUCACCACCUGUGGCCUACUAACAAUUGCUGAGACAGGAGAGCAGAGGAAGCCUGCAGUGGGGUCAGCAAAGCUGCUGACUUAACUCCAGCAUCCAGACUCCGUAUUUAACUUGAUGAGGAUAAGAACUGUAACUCCGCUAUUGAAGGGCUGAAGCUUCAGCCCAGGGGAACAAUAGGUAAGCACAUAUAAAAUUCUCUUCCUGCACGCCAAUCUACCAUGUCCCCUGACCGUUCCUAUGCAAGGAUUUUAAGAGCAGAGUGACUGAGGGAGGGAGUCUGAGGGGCGUGGCCACACCAUCCAAGUGUCUUCGACAGCUCAGGGAGUUGACAUAACCUAGAAAAAAUGUGCUGUUAUUUUGGUAAGGGCAGAAGGAGAAGUAUGGUUUUAUGUCAGAGUUUCCCAUGAAAAGACCUAAGCUCACUGAAGGCGAAAGGGAUGCGGUCCGUGGGCUGUGAUCUGUGGUCUGUGGUCUCCCAGACGGUCCUAAGUACCGAGGAAGAUGAGACCCAGAAGCAAGGAGGAUGACAGGCAGCACCCUGUCCAGUGCUGUCACCUUGGGGCAGAAGCAGAGGUACCCCAUCCAGGACAGAAGGAGAGGCAAGAACGAGCCAAGGCAGCACUGGCCUGGGAAGGAUGAGACAAGUAGGCUCUGGGGUUCCAGAUCCAGUUGCAGAGACGUUGGAAUGCCAACACCUCAUGUUCAAAGGGCAGCCAUGAGAUCAGUGCCUAUUUCUAUGAGUGAGGUAUAACUGUUAGGGUGAUCAGGGACCAUGGAUGCAUCUGGCACAAGCUCACAAGCAUGUUGCAAGUAAGAGUGGGUCUGGAGCAGUUGGUUCCUGCCUGUGUGGUAGACUCGAUCACUGGUCCCUUAUUUUUCUCCUUCCACAUCCUGACUCAGGAGUAAGGUCAGGAGCUGUUCACAACCAUCAGAAUUCCCCAGAAAAGGACUAAAAAUCAGGCACGGUCUGCUGCUAGGAGGUGAGUGGAUGUGAAAUCGGCUCUGUUUCAUAGUCGCUUCGGUAGCUAUAGAAACUGCCAUUAUGGCAAUAAAGCAGACCUAAGGCAAGUGCUGAGAAGUGUGACAUCAUUCAAUAUCCCAGCAUCCCCUUGUGGCAAGGACUGUUACUCUCCUUGCCUACAUAUGAGGAAACCUAUGAAAGAGAUGUCAGUGAACCUGCCUCCUUCACACUGACAGUAAGAGACAGACCUGGGACUUGAACCUGUACUGUCAUGCUUCAGUGUCCGUGCCAUCCAGACUCUUAAUUCUUGAGGCUCUGGGCUGUCCCUUAUGGUUGCCUCUCCCCUCCCCCAAUCUCACCAGCUCAAAGGAAGGUGCUAUCUUUGGGAAUAUGUCAGGGUGUGCAUCACAAGGUGUCAGGGGUCCAAAGUAAACUUACCUUACAAUUCCACUUUGCCACUAUUUUCUGAAUGUCAGAAAAGAUUAAAAAAAAAAUAGGUACCUUGGCAGGAUCUUCUUUAAAUCCUAUCUGGAGGCUCAGUGAGAGAGAAAGAGGGAAGAGAAAAAGAAAGGGGGAGGAAGGAAGAGGGAAGAUGAGGGUAGGAGGGGUUGGCCACAUCAUGCACUGAGAACAUUUGACUCCUCGCAAGUGUCUUCAGCUCAGGGAGCUGACAUAGCCUAGAAAACCUAUGCUGUUAUUUUGGUAAGGGCAGAAGGAGAAGUAUGGUUUUAGGUCAGAGCUUGCCAUGAAAAGACUCACUAAAGGCAAAAGGGAUACGGUCCAUGGGCUGUGAUCUGUGGAGUCCCAGAAGGUUCUAAGUACUUAGGAAGAUGGGGGAUCCAGAAGCAAGGAGGAUGACAGGGAGCACCCUGUCUGGUGACAUCAUCUUAGCUAAAGAACAAGGCGAGGAAUGGUAGCUCCCAAGUAGAUGGAGAAGGUGUCAUAACUGAACUAAAUGGUCUGACCACACCCCGUGCUAGCACAUGGUGUCCUUUCUAGCCCUUAACCCCUGAGUUAGGGAAAUACUGGUGGUGAAUAGGACAGCACAUCUCAAACCUAGGCUAUGAGACCUUUCAUUCUUGUGAAGUUUUAUAUUAUUCUAAAUAAACUGCUGGUGUCUCCUCAAAUUAAAAGCUGAGCACGUUCAACUUAAUAGUUGGCGAGCUAGUCAUUCUUUUUUUUUUUUUCCGAGCCUCAUGGCUUCUUGUACGGAGUAAAAUACAGGCUCUAAGUGAGCUGUUUAAAUAUUGAUGAGAAGCUGAACAUUGUUUUCCCGGCCCACUGGAGUGAAUUUAUGGUGCUGCGGAGUGAAGAGACAUUGCAUCCUGAAGAAGAAAGAGAAGAAAGUCUGAAGAGUGGUCCCCUUUCAGAGUUUUAUUCGUGAGGCUAAAUCAACAUGUGUUACAUUUCAACAUACACCAAGAAAGCCUGAUAUCAGAGACGGUAAAUCCAUGACCGAAACUUGAAAACACGUUCCCAGGUUCUCAGCACAGCGAUUUGAGCCACACCCACUGCCGGAAAGACAUUUAGACCAUUAGAACUCCAUCUAAAUCCCGUUUGAAGUUGACGACCUACAUAUGAGAACCAGAUCCCCUUCAACCCUUCCAUCUGAUUAUUGAGGAAGUUUACGCUACAGAUUACCAGCAAAGACAGGGACUCAGGUCAGUUUUGGGAGAACUGAGAACUGAGACAGGAGAACCUAGUCUAGCUCCAACUGAAGCCCCUCCCUCGAGGUAGAAAAGAGAUUCAUUCAUUGUUUUCGCCCAUUAGCUCUGAGCUAUGCUUGAGCUCUUCCACCUAAUGCCUUUCUGGGUCCAUCAGUGCUUAUGGGUGUGUGGCCUUCAAUACAGCAUCUAAAUGCAUUGGAUCUGCACUUUAUGUAUAAAAACAUGCACUUUGGAUCCCCUGGAGGUUUAUUUCGUCCUGGUUCCUGCAUAUCCUAGUCUCUGGUCUCUACAAAGUACUGAGCUUGCAGCUUUGAGCAACUGACAGUUUGUCUGAUGUGAAGAAUGUAGACCAUAUGAGCCUGGGGCCUUGGGAACCAGCUCCUGGUUGCCACCCAGAAGACUGUCCUGAUAAGAAGGCCUGUGACAGGUUCAGGUUCCAACCUUCACAGCCAACCUUACCACCUGCAGUUUUCUCUCAGACCUUUACUUUCUGAUCAAUUGUAGAGCUGUCCCUUGCUAUGAUAAAGUAGAGCAUCUUCUUGGGCUUGUUUUGAUCUCCCUUGCUGUGCUGAUGGCUUCUGGCACAACACCUUCUACAGAGGUGCAAAUUAGCAAAUGAAUGACUGGAUAAUUAUCAAACAAAACAGUGACAUUCCUAGAAUCUGUCACUGAAUCAAGGACCACAGGAACAGAAAUCCUCUUAUGGUUUUACUUUGUUAAAUGUCCUUUAGAACACUGUCCUAACCAAUUACAUUAGAAACAACCUCCAAACUCAAUGUCUUCAAAUACCAAGCCAUUGCCUCUCUUGGUUCUGUGGACGCACUAAGCUCAGCUCUCUCUCUCUCUCUCUCUCUCUCUCUCUCUCUCUCUCUCUCUGUGUGUGUGUGUGUGUGUGUGUGUGUGUGUGUGUUUUACCUGAGAUCUGUCAUGCAGUUUUAGAACAGAGAAGCCAGGGUUGGAGUCAUUGGAAGGCUCGACUGGGCGGAUAUCCAAGAUACAUUGAGGACAGCUGAUGUCAGCGGCUGGAUUACCCACACUUGUCAACUGGACAGGACCAGUUUAUAACACUUGGCCUGUCCACGUGGCUUGGGUUUUUCACAGAAUUGCUUCUGGGUGCCCAAAUCUGUCAUCUGUCAGUGAGCAUUCUGAGAGAGCUGAUAACGAACAGCAGGUUUCCUAUUAUCUAGCCUUGGGGGCCAUAGCAUAUGGCUACAAGCAAACAUAUGAUCUUGGGGACUUGGUAGAGUGCCUGCCUAGCAAGUAGGAUGGCCCGGAAUUGAAAAACAAACAACAAGCAAACAAACAACAACAAAACUUCAAACGCGUUAUCCCUGAAGGACAACCUAUCUCUGCAAGAGCCUUCCUUUAUCACGUGAUCCAUCCACUAUACUGCUGAGCACUGGCGACAAUCACUAUCAACCGGAUCUAGCAGAGUUGUCCUUGGAGAAUCUCAGCAUGAACAGUGAGCAGAGAGAGAAGCUGGCGAGGUUGACAUGAAAGGCGAGCGGUGCUCCAGGGCCUAUUAUCGAUGGCCAGAACUCAUCCUACUUUGAAAGGGUCUUGAGCAGAUUAAGAUGAAACAGACGGGCAUUACAUGGAAGCUUCUUUCAGCCCCCACCAGCUUUCAUUGCUGACCAUCCUGUUCCUGACUGUGCUGUGUAGGAGAAUCCAGACAUUGUGUACAGCUGCAUCUCAGCGUGGCCCGUUUUGGCUGGAAUUCAAGGAGUAAUUACAGCCAAAUGAGUAUUAUUACAACCCACGUCAAUCAGCGCAGCCUUCUCCUCGAAUGCUCUCAUAAAGAAACAGGGACGCUCUCUGAAAGAUGCUGUCUGGUUUAAGCCCAGUGUCUUUCUGGGGACCAGGAUGUGUGUGCUUUUCCAGAGGGAAACCAGCGCUGAUCGUCUGUCACCAAGUCUGAAGAGUAUAACCUGUAUGAUCUGAGACUGUAGGUCCCCAGAGUUAGGCAGACCCCAAUUCAGAUCCCACAUGCUACUUCCUCUCUCUGUGAACCUACACACGGGCUUAACCUCUCCACAUCUCCAUGUUCUGAUGAGUGAUGCGAGACUUCAGGGAUUCAGCAAGAUAGAGUGUUUAAAGUGCCAAAAGAGAUCUAUGGUGAUUUGUUAAUGGAACUUCCUUUCCUCCUCAUUCAGCAAUUAAUCACCAGCUCUUUGUCCUCGGCUGGAGGUGUGGCUUUGCAUCAGCAGGUGGAUGCUAAGCUACACAUUUGUCUACAUUUUAGGCCUCCUUUGGAACCCAAAAGCAAUGUGUGCAGGGAGGUUAUCCUGGAGAGACUGGAGUGUGAGGACGAGUCACACUGAUUCUGUAGGGGGCUGGGAUGUCGUGGGAAAAAGGGCAGGAGCAAUGGGAAUUGGAAGACACCUCCACACACACAACCAUGAAGUUCCACCAACUUUAGAACACUACUUUGGGAGGAAUCAUGGGUGGUGAGGGAAAGACCUUGUCCCUGUAGAAAUUUAGUGGAGAAGAGCUCUUUGCCUAGGUUCCUGGUGGCUUGGUUAGAAAGAACAUUGGUAUGGUUUGAAUCUGCAAUGCCCACCAUAGGCUCUUGAUUUGAACAUUUGGUUCCCAGCUGGUGGAGCAAAUUUGGAAGGGUAUGGGUCUAGCUGGUAGACAGGUUUUCAUGGGAAGGUCCCUAGUUCCUGACUUUUUCUGCUUCCUGAUCUGCGUGAUGCGAAUAGCUUCCCAUACAUGCUCCUAUGAUGGGGUCCUAUUGCUGUGGCCUGAACCACCAUGCUAAGCCUUCUCUGUCAUAGUGAAAUGUCUUGAGACCAUGAGCCCAAAGAAUUCUUUCACCCUUUACAUACACUGUUUCUGCCAGCUAUUUUGACCAUGCUACCUCAAAAGCAACAAAUAAAAAUGCUUAUAAAAACGUAUAUGCAAGCAGCCAGGCAACCUUGUGUGUAUGCAUGGGGCUUAGGCACGGAGCUUAAAUCACUCUUGUAAAUCUGCUCCAUUCAAUUUAGUAAAACGUUCUCCUGUCUACUUUGGGUGAGAGAUGGCAUGGGGAG
Mus musculus (house mouse) is the source of this 13105-nucleotide long non-coding RNA. RefSeq annotates it as predicted gene, 26843. NCBI's taxonomy places the organism in Eukaryota, Metazoa, Chordata, Mammalia, Rodentia, Muridae. The record is from RefSeq and is a predicted model, not a curated record. The transcript has 13 exons.